Molecule: non-coding RNA, 82 nt
Filed under: bovine gut metagenome
Description: Glycine riboswitch
Rfam family: Glycine riboswitch aptamer
About the family: This family represents the bacterial glycine riboswitch.
Source: RNAcentral
GGGACUUUGGAGAAGCUGCGGUUUGCCCGCAGUGCCGAAGGUGAAAGCGCAAGGCGUGAAUCUCUCAGGCAAAAGGACAAAG